UGGGGAAUUUUGGACGAAUUGGGGGCAACCGUCGAUCCAGCAAUGCCGCGUGUGUGAAGAAGGCCUUCGGGUUGUAAAGCACUUUUGUCUGGAAAGAAACGCCGUGGUUAAUACCCGUGGCGGAUGACGGUACCGGAAGAAUAAGCACCGGCUAACUACGUGCCAGCAGCCGCGGUAAUACGUAGGGUGCAAGCGUUAAUCGGAAUUACUGGGCGUAAAGCGUGCGCAGGCGGUCCGCUAAGACAGAUGUGAAAUCCCCGGGCUUAACCUGGGAACUGCAUUUGUGACUGGCGGGCUAGAGUAUGGCAGAGGGGGGUAGAAUUCCACGUGUAGCAGUGAAAUGCGUAGAGAUGUGGAGGAAUACCGAUGGCGAAGGCAGCCCCCUGGGCCAAUACUGACGCUCAUGCACGAAAGCGUGGGGAGCAAAC
This 428-nucleotide ribosomal RNA is filed under the name uncultured bacterium. Its description in RNAcentral is "partial 16S ribosomal RNA". It matches the Rfam family "Bacterial small subunit ribosomal RNA", at positions 355 to 773 of the family's 1533-position model. The record is from RNAcentral.